Long non-coding RNA from Homo sapiens (human), 1169 nucleotides. RefSeq lists it as uncharacterized. The record is from RefSeq and is a predicted model, not a curated record. The transcript has 3 exons. Lineage: Eukaryota; Metazoa; Chordata; Mammalia; Primates; Hominidae.
GGCUGGAAGCUUCUGUGGAGCUCUGUCCAGAGUAUAUGGGAGGCAAUACGGAAACCCACAGACCUCUCCACAGUGUAGACACACAGAUCCCAAGCACUCUGGACAGCCCCCUUCUUUCCACCUUCCCGAGUCUUCCUAGGCCUGUUUGUUGUAUUAUUUCCAGAGAUUUUUUAGUUAUAAUUGUGAGGUCCUGGAAGGACGGGGGCUACUCCAUCUUGGUGAAUUCAGAAGUCUCCUUCCUUCAAUUUUUGGAAAGCAAGAAACUGGAAACCACUUAAUUUGCCAGAAUUAUGUUAUCCAGCUAUUAGAUUCAGCUUCUCAAUUCUAGGAAAGUGCAUUUAAAAUUGUUUAACAAGCCUUCUUAAAUGAUUUUUAAUUUUGUAUGUUAUUCUUUCACUUAAAGCCAACAUCUUUAACUCAAUAAAAUAAUUUUUGAUAAUACAUUUUAAUCUUACUAUAUUUUUUGUAUAAAUCUUCAAAAGCUUGGGAAGAGCUUGGGAAGAUUUUGAAGAUUUAAGUUUAUGAAUUUUUGAUUGGCAUUCAUAAUUACAAUGAUCACUUUGAUACUCUGGAUAAUUUUAUGUCACAGGACAAUGCUUCAUAAGGUUUUAACUGUAUGUUCCACAGAAACUGAGCAAGAAAACAAACAAAAACAGUAAGAUUAUGUAUGAACCAAGCUUUACCCAGCAUUACUACUCUUUUCUCCUGGAAUGUAUUGAAUUACUUUUAUUGAGAUGAAAAAUCUGGGGCCAAAAGAAUUAUAUAUGUGAGAGACCAGAAUAUGCCACCUCAAGAUAUGAAGGACUGUUGAGUUGAAGACAAUUAAAAAGCAGCAGAUACAGGAAUGCUCUCUGACCUCCUCUAUUUGCCUAAAAGCAAAAUGUAGAUUUUCAAAGACAAAAGGGAUCCUGGCAUUCCCUCCUCCCUGCUACUUACAGGGAAAACAGAGAUUAACCACUAAAGACAACUUUAGACACAUAUCUUCUGGAGGUGGUACCAGAGGCACCUGCCUUAACAAGUUUCACCUAAUAGUCUUUACCUGCCAUUUAUUUGCCUUCCCACAAGUUGCAUCCUCUAGAGACUAAAAGUUCUUUUACUGUGUCUUCUCAAUUCUCUAAAAAUUUACUGUUCUUUCUUGAAUAUGCUAUAUAAACUGGAACUCAAAGCCA